ACGCUCGACACCUACGGGACGCAGCAGUGGGGAAUAUUGCACAAUGGGGGAAACCCUGAUGCAGCGACGCCGCGUGAGCGAAGAAGUAUUUCGGUAUGUAAAGCUCUAUCAGCAGGGAAGAAACUGACGGUACCUGACUAAGAAGCACCGGCUAAAUACGUGCCAGCAGCCGCGGUAAUCUGAGCGGGCUGGCAAGGC
Molecule: ribosomal RNA, 198 nt
Filed under: uncultured bacterium
Lineage: Bacteria
Description: partial 16S ribosomal RNA
Rfam family: Bacterial small subunit ribosomal RNA
Source: RNAcentral